Molecule: ribosomal RNA, 224 nt
Filed under: Skeletonema marinoi
Lineage: Eukaryota; Bacillariophyta; Thalassiosirophyceae; Thalassiosirales; Thalassiosiraceae
Description: partial Bacterial small subunit ribosomal RNA
Rfam family: Bacterial small subunit ribosomal RNA
Source: RNAcentral
GAAGGUGGGGAUGACGUCAAGUCAUCAUGGCCCUUACGAGUAGGGCUACACACGUGCUACAAUGGCGAGUACAGAGGGAAGCGAGACAGUGAUGUGGAGCGGACCCCUUAAAGCUCGUCGUAGUCCGGAUCGGAGUCUGCAACUCGACUCCGUGAAGUCGGAAUCGCUAGUAAUCGCGUAACAGCAUGACGCGGUGAAUACGUUCCCGGGCCUUGUACACACCG